Ribosomal RNA from Luteipulveratus mongoliensis, 118 nucleotides. The record is from Rfam. Lineage: Bacteria; Bacillati; Actinomycetota; Actinomycetes; Micrococcales; Dermacoccaceae.
UACGGCGGUCAUAGCGAAGCGGGAAACGCCCGGACACAUUCCGAACCCGGAAGCUAAGCCCUUCAGCGCCGAUGGUACUGCACUGGUGACGGUGUGGGAGAGUAGGACACCGCCGGAC